UGGCCUGAGCUGAAGCUGGAUGCUUAACUGAGUCAGGCAGGCGCCCCUUAACUGGAGAAUAUUUAAAGUUUUGUUGUUUUUUCCCCCCAACUAAAGGAUCUAUGAUAUUUUAUCCAGGAGUGCUCAAACUUUGUAGUGCAUUAAGAUCUUAAUCUUAUUUUGGAAUCUUGAAAGAAAACAAAGGAAGCCAUUAUCUCUUAAUGAACAGUGAGUGUUUAUUUUCCUUUUCUUUAUCUCUGUAUCUCUGUUUUUACACAUUGGUUCUAUCUUCUGAAGUCAAAGUCACUUCUGUUUGCCAAGCUUAGCUAACACAAUGAGAAAGAGCUUGCUUACUAGUACACAGAAUCAUUUUUGUAACUUCAGAGGUGGGAAAGUGUUAAGUCGCGUUACAAAGCAUAUAUGAAGUUUAUAUACUCGGUGCCAACAAGGUAGGAGUUACUUCUGGGUGUAGGGACACACAGAAGGCAUGAGGAAGGGAAUUGGGGUGGGGUGGGCAGGGGUAGCAGAGAGAAAGGUUGGUGUAUUAACUCCGUUUUCCCACCUUGAUAAGGAAUCAUAUGUGCACUUUUUGUUUCUGACAGAGCCAAGAAGGAAAUGCAGUUUCAGCAGGUAUCCUACCUGGGUUUUCGUGAAGCCUCUAGUGAGUCUGAUCUUGAAGCUCGUGGGCGUGUGGAUCGGUGGUGGAAGGGGAGGGGUGUGGGGAGCUGUCAUGGAUCUGACCUCUGCCCCACACGUGCUCCCACUACGGCUGGGAACAGCUAGAGGCACGUCACUGAUUCCACCGCCCGGGUGGCGAUGAUUUCUUGCAAAGCUACUGCGAAAAUACUUAACCUCUGGCUUAGUGGCAAAGGACUGGCCUUUUGAUAUUGUUCUGAAGUUCAUUUCAGAGGAGGCCCUUCCCUGUGACGUCAUAGUUAAAGGUCCUCCCGACAGCUGGUAGGUAGUAUUGGGCCUCCUUAAUUAUCUCUGCUAGUUAUGAACUUCCUCCUUAUUUGGUUGGAGCCUCUACUGACUCUUUCCAUUUCAAGCUAACCUAGAUAGUGCGACAAUGUAGUCAACUCUUUCUAAAUAUAGCUAUCCCUGCUGGGUGGAAUCCAUUCAAGUGGUCAGAUUUCUAAAGGCACUUUGUGUUCUGGAAGCCAGGGUUAGUGGGGCGGGGGUGGGGGGUGGGAUUGUGUCACUUAGAGAUCUGUUUGUAUCCAUGUGCCAACAAUUUAAUGAAACAGAUUAUUAUUCAAAUUUCAUUGGCCUUAUCGAACUAAAUGUUAAAGAAUCUUUCCUGUGCUGAGUAUAUGAAUAUAUAGUCAGCAUUGCUUUCUAUCUGUUUUCCUAGCUUGUAAGUGGCUGUCCAUAGCAGAAAGACAAAUCCCAUGUUUGUCAUCUUUAUGAAUUAAUUGUUUGGGGGAGAAUGAUUGGACUCAGAAAGGUAAGUUAGUUAAGAGGGGAAGUUAGUAUUAGUCAUGAGAAAACACUGUGGGAUUAAGUCAAACCCAUACCCAGCCUACAUUGUUAUUGCCAAUAGUUUCCUCCAAAUCCAAUAAGUAAAAUCACUUAAAAAUCAAAAUCCCUAUUUUUUUAUGGAAAAGAACAACCAGUAAAAUGAAUUAAGGACUAAGUAUGAUAGAUAACAUCAUUUACAAACAAGACAUUAUGAGAGAUUUAGUCAUUUAGUGAAUGCAGAACAUUAACAUUGACUUUUAUUUAAAACAUCCCCACUGUCUAGAAACAUUAUGCUGUCUGAAAUGAAGAAAAAUGCAAUGAAGAGACCCCUGAUGUAAUGAGUUUUAAGAAUUACAGAGACAAAGAUGCAUAUCAGGAAGAUGAUAGAUAUGGAUGGGAUAAUAUCACCACACAGUUGCAGGCAUCAUUUUAUAGUACAGACAAUUGACGUAUUUUCGGGAGAAAAGAAUGAACGUGGCAUACGGCAUACCAAAAAUGAUCACUGAGGAGGUGAAGGCCACUACCAGGUCAGAAAAACAGGCCUCAGUUUUGAUCUGUUUGCGAUUAAUUAAUUAGUACGAGCUUAUGGAGAUGACGCAGACAGUCUGAGGGUAAGUGACAUGCAUGGCAGGGGACAUGUAAGUCCCUGGUGACAAAACUGAGCCAGGAGCUCCCCCUGCCCCCCAUGCUGGUUUAGUGUUUCUUUGUGCUACCUUCCUUUGCCCCCUGGAGCUGCUGGUGACAGACUGUUCUCAGUGAUAUGUCCCCAUCUGGGUGGGAAUCAUCUCUGCUCAGGUCACUAUGGGACACCCAGGGUAACCCCCGGGCGCUACCCCUGUUUCGUGUAGUCCAGAUCAGGCUCCUCCAGCCUGCCUGAGCCCUGGCAUUCUUCUUCCGUCCUGAGGUGCACCUGAGGCAGCCCUCUG
Molecule: long non-coding RNA, 2366 nt
Organism: Leopardus geoffroyi (Geoffroy's cat)
Lineage: Eukaryota; Metazoa; Chordata; Mammalia; Carnivora; Felidae
Exons: 3
Source: RefSeq, a predicted model, not a curated record